GAUGAAGAACGUAGCGAAAUGCGAUACUUGGUGUGAAUUGCAGAAUCCCGUGAACCAUCGAGUCUUUGAACGCAAGUUGCGCCUCAAGCCAUUAGGUUGAGGGCACGUCUGCCUGGGCGUCACAUAUCGUUGCCUGAUGCCAGUUUCCUCGUGAUGGGUGACUGUGCAGGGCGAAUGAUGGCUUGCCGUGAGCAUUGUUGCCUCAUGGUUGGUUGAAAAUUGAGUCCUUGGUAGGGAGCGCCGUGAUAGAUGGUGGUUGAGUGACGAACGAGACCCAAUCAUGUGAGACCCCUACCGAAUUUGGCCUUCAUGACCCACAUGCGUCUUUGGAACGCUCAUGACGAGACCUCAGGUCAGGCGGGGCUACCCGCUGAGUUUAAGCAUAUCAAUAAGCGGAGGA
This 400-nucleotide unclassified non-coding RNA is filed under the name soil metagenome. Its description in RNAcentral is "partial contains 5.8S ribosomal RNA, internal transcribed spacer 2, and large subunit ribosomal RNA". The stretch from base 1 to 122 matches the Rfam family "5.8S ribosomal RNA", at positions 35 to 154 of the family's 154-position model. The record is from RNAcentral.